This 253-nucleotide ribosomal RNA is filed under the name uncultured bacterium. Its description in RNAcentral is "partial 16S ribosomal RNA". It matches the Rfam family "Bacterial small subunit ribosomal RNA", at positions 15 to 263 of the family's 1533-position model. The record is from RNAcentral.
GAUCCUGGCUCAGGACGAACGCUGGCGGCGCGCCUAACACAUGCAAGUCGAACGGAGCUUAAAGAGCUUGCUUUUUAAGCUUAGUGGCGAACGGGUGAGUAACGCGUGAGUAACCUGCCCUGGAGUGGGGGACAACAGUUGGAAACGACUGCUAAUACCGCAUAAGCCCACGGAUUCGCAUGGAUCUGCGGGAAAAGGAUUUAUUCGCUUCAGGAUGGACUCGCGUCCAAUUAGCUAGUUGGUGGGGUAACGG